This is a long non-coding RNA of Helianthus annuus (common sunflower), 4840 nucleotides long. RefSeq lists it as uncharacterized. NCBI's taxonomy places the organism in Eukaryota, Viridiplantae, Streptophyta, Magnoliopsida, Asterales, Asteraceae. The record is from RefSeq and is a predicted model, not a curated record. The transcript is spliced from 3 exons.
CACUUUAGUCCAAAUCUCAAACUUAUUACAUCCAGGGCCUGUGGUUUGCAUUUUGUUGCCAUUUUGGUCCAAAUUUCAAAUUUGGCCAGAUUCUCCUACUUAAACCCUUCUAUUUUGUCUUUAUCCUCAGGGGCAUUUUAGUCAUAUAGAUUUAUUAUAACUGAUUAUUGAUUAAAAAUAAUAAAAUCAAAAUCAAUCAACCAUCUUCUUCAUUUCAACCAGAAAAUAAAACCCAGACCCUCUAUCACCAUCUUCUUCAUUUCAACCCUAACACCAAAAUCAAUCAACCUUAAGACCUGCAAUGAACACCCCACCACCACCACCUCCACCACCAGACCUCCACCGACGCACCUCCAGCCCCACUGCAAAAUCACCACCGCCGCACCUCCAACCCUGCUGCAAAACCCCCACCACCGCACCUACUCCCCCAUUGUAAAACCCCCACCACCGCACAUCCUCCCCUGCUGCACAACCCCCACCACGCACCUCCACCACUACAAUCAAUCACAAACCACAAAACCCUAAAACUCAUCAGCCAUCAACCCACCCAAAUUCAUACCAAACAUAUCUAAAUUUCACUUACCAGGUUAAUGUUCCGGAGAUGAAGCUAGGGUUUCGGCGAGAAUUUCACCGGCAAAAAUCACCAUGCUCACCUUCAACAAACCCAAAACCAUUAUUCACUCUAUCCACUCUCAAAUCACUUCACACCCUCUAAUCUCCCUCUUCAUCUUCUCCCUUUUCCUCAUCCAGAUCACCCUCUUCUGUUCCCACUCACCGCCGCCACAACCACUACUCCCACCAACCCACGACAACCUCUGCACCGACGGCACAAUCUACGUCUACGACCUCCCACCCAUGUUCAACUCCGAUUUACUCGGAACAUGCGACGAUCUGGACCCCUGGUAAUGGCAGUGCGACGUCGCCACCAACCACAGUUACGGCACCACCGCGACCGAGCUCGCCGGAAUUGUACCAGAAAGUUUAGCAUCCCACUGUUCGAGAGAGAGGAGAAAGAUGAUGGCAGUGGGAUGGUGGUGUUGGCGGCAGUGGGAUUGUGGUGGUGGGGAUGAUGCGGUGGUGGGGGUGGUGGUAUGGUGGUGGUAGUUAAGAGAAGAGAGGUUGAGAGAGAGAAGAGAGAGAGGCAGAUGUUGAGAGAGAGAGAAGAGAGAGAGGCAGAUGUUGACUAUAUAAUAAAACCAAAAUGACUAAAAUACCCAUAAAGACAAAAUAGCAGGUUCUUUUUUGAAAAUCUGACCUGAUUUCGUUUUUGGACCAAAAUGGCAACAAAAUGCAAACCACAGGGCCCUGGAUGUAAUAAGUUUGAGAUUUGGACUAAAGUGGCAAAACUGGCCAAACCACAGAGACCAAAAUGGCAGUUUACUCUAGUUUAAUUUAAAUUAGGUUUCCAACAUUGGUUGUUAUUUUGAUGAUACUGGUAUGCAAUCUUACUCUUUGUUGGUAGUCCAGUUUAUAACUUUUAAUGAAGAAACUGUGGUAAGAAAACGGGUUACAAAUGAGUGACAGUGGUCUCUAAUUGUUGAACUGCAUAAGUAUUGUGUUUGGUUUCCCGUAUUUAAUAGUUAUUAUUGUGAGUUUGCCAUUAUCCUUUUAUCCUAAUUAUGUAAGUCCAGAUAAAUAAAGAAAUGAACUGGGCCCUAUUAACCUUUUUGUACCCAGAAAUGUGGGAUGCAGAAUGUUUGCAAUUAGUGACCAAGAAAGAGGUGUCGUAACCAUAGUUAUUGAAGAUACAUGACCGAGACCGGACAUGAUCCUUGGGACGAACCAGACUCCAUUCGGACGGACAUCUAAAACAUGUCCGUUCCACAUCAAGCACCUCCGAAGACGAACCUCCAUUCAAGUGCGUCUGGACGAAUGACGUCAUCUCAGUUGACUAUUAUAAAUACCCCGUCAAGUACAAAGCCUAUGCAUGAGGUUUAUGAGCUGACUGUAUCAAACUUCCAGAGCCUUUUUCAUUUUAUAGUUGGUGGGCACGUUAUCGACAUGCGUGUAAUGAGCCUCCCUGCGUAUCCUGGCCCGGGCGUUGAUGCAUAACAUCGCUUCAAGGUUACUUCCUUUACUGCCAAUUGACUGAAGAGCUAAAAAGCUUAUUUAAGUGACAUCUUAAGGGCCUCUGUGCAGGUAUUACACACACACACAUGUAUAUGCAUUUUCAAGUAUCUAUUCCGGCUAUAGAGGUUAAAAGAUGGGCUGGCUGGAAUGUUGGAUAAUGGGCCAAAACAAAUGUUAGUUAAAAUGAGUCAAAACAAAGCCGGUGGGUUGACACUUGACCAUUUUCAAAAUCUAUAUUGGUUAAGACUACAAAACAAUAUUAUUACUCUAAUGGUCUAAAUAAAUGAAUAGAAACAAUUAGGGUGUUUUAUGCACCAAAGAACUGUACCUGCAAAAGGGUGUUUCCAAGGGGUUUGUUUGCGAAGACCACGGAAAGAAUGAGCAGCCAAGAUUCAUAUAUUCUGUUUGUUAGUAAUUUUAUUACAAUUGAAAAUCAUCUUUUAUAAGCCUGCAGCCUAUUGAUAUUGUGAGAAACCAAAAUCAUGUUUUUUUAAAGAUUUGCUAAAAAACAACUUCACAGAAUACUCAACACUCUAAUAUACACUUGAAUAUAAUUUAAUUAAUUUCAAUGAAAAGUAUUGAGACUGAGCGUGAAAUUAGUAUUGCAAGGAUAUGAUAACUAGAAGGUAACAUUGUUAUUAUGAUAGAGCUGCAACAUUCAUUUAUUAAAGUCAAAUCUCAAACAUGAAGCAUGUUGGAUAAAUAUGACUACACUUUCUAAAUAUAGACUCAGGUAUAUCCACCUUUGAUGGAUUAUACUUUUUAAACCUGAAAAUAUAAAUAUAACAAUAAAAAUUACUUGUCCACGAGUUGCUAGGGGUCAUUUAUAUUACACAAUAAAUGUAUGUGGACUUAGUUUACACACGUUUGUUGAUGGGUUUUGAGGAGGGUACGUACUAAACUCUUUAUUUGACAUAAGUGGAUAUACUUUAGAAUUUUUAUAUAGUGAUAACACUGUAAUUAAUUGCUAUAAUAAUAAGUUAUAGUACUUGUUUGAUAAAAAAUCAUAAAUUAUGUAUGAUUAUUAUUUACAAUAAACUUAAGAAUCAUGAAUGCAUGAUUUUGCCAAGAAUCCAAGUGUUACCAGUGAUAUGAGAUGAUAAGAAUGAGAGGUUUAGAACAUGUUUAGUAGGGUUUGAAGUUCAAGCCUCUCCUUUGGGUAUUAUACGACACAUGACGUUCUAGUCAGCAAAGAGUAUUAUGGAACUUGAAGUUUAAAAUUGAUGUAGUGGUAUAAUGCCCCAAAAUGCCCUUGUAAUGAUUACCCAAUUACAGGUGUGUGUGUGGGUCGGUUAUGGCCAAAAACCAUAACCAUAUCCACGAUGUCAGUUAAUGGAUAAUCAUAACCAUAACUGAUUGGUUAUGACGGUUUUGGUUAAUCGGUUUUGAAUGUUAUUACGGCUCUUAAUGGGCGGUUAACCAUGAAUUUACGUCUUGUUAAAAAAUAACUCAUUUUUUUAACAACGGAGUAAAUUGUCAUUAUACCUUUGUAUAUAUUAAUAUAUUACAUAUUAAAAAACAUAUAUAAUCUAUAAUAUUAAUACCAAUUAUUUAUGAAUAUUCAAAUAAAACGAUAUGAUAUAAACAAUAAAUUCAAACAGACUUUCAACCAAAACGAUAUAAUAUAAUCCAUAAAUUCUAACACACAUUUAAUCAAAAACAUCAACUAUUGAAAAAUGGUGAAAAGUCUAAAAUCCAACAAAGAGUUUACUACAUCUUGAUUCGGUUCAUUAUGUUGGGCAUGGAAACAUUGAUAACCAUAAGCGACCCGUUACUUUCGGUUUUCAAAAAAUAAUUAACUGAUCCACCGCUUUUUUAUUUUGUUCAGUUUUUUCGCUUCGGUUUUGUCGGUUAAUUCGGUUUUUUUCUCACCCCUACCCAAUUAUCUUUUUUAGAAAAAUAAAACAAAAGCAACCCUUACCCUAUGAUCAUACAAAUUUUUUUUUUUGAAACCAACAACAAAAGCAGCGUUUUAAUGGUAACGUCGGGAGCCAAAAUUCGAAGAUCAUGCUGCGGGAGGCGGAGGUUGGGCUUCACACCACUUCAUUUCCCCGCUACACAUGAUGGGGACUCAAAAGUUUCAAACUAUCAUUUUUUUUGAACGGUAAAUUUGGAUCACUGACGGACCAUUGGAGUAUCAUCGUGCCACCAGCAGAACCACCCGAUCAUAUCCAUCUCCACUAGGCAAUAAUGCCUAUACACCAAUUCAGGAGAAAACCCAAUAAAUUUGGGAAAAACCCCCUUAGUGGGAAUCAAACCAUGACCUAACAGUCAUAAGACUUAUCCCACCACCAAGAUACCACUAGGCUAUAAUGCCAUGGAUAGUUUCAAACUAUAAUGGGUAUUGAAACAUAACCCAGUCAUAACAAAUGACGAAAGUACAACAAUUUAUUCAUGUCCAUAAUUUAAAUAAUGAUAAUUAACAACGUGUUCAAUUUCAAAAUAAAGGUAGUUCGUUUGUUGACUCGUUGAAUAAAUUAAUAUACCAAUUUUGAGACUUGUGUGAACACUGAAAAAACAAACCAAACCAUAAAAAGUUUAAAACUAAACAAAAAAUGAGGCAAGCCACCGAGUCACAAGUUAAUUUCCAAACUAUAAAUAAGCAACACUUUCAUGCUUUAUGUUGUUGUAACAUAUGCAAUGAGAGUUUUUCAAAAAAAAUUACAUUUUUCACUUUUAACCCCAAAAUCCACUAUCCCUCAUUACUAAACUUCUGCGCACUAAGAAAGGUCAUGAUGCCAUCUGGGUAAUUGUGGAUCGUCUUACUAAA